Molecule: ribosomal RNA, 815 nt
Filed under: Halicnemia patera
Lineage: Eukaryota; Metazoa; Porifera; Demospongiae; Axinellida; Heteroxyidae
Also listed under: 1 other name
Description: eukaryotic LSU rRNA
Rfam family: Eukaryotic large subunit ribosomal RNA
Source: RNAcentral
UUAAGCAUAUCAAUAGCGGAGAAAGGAAACUAACAAGGAUUCCCCUAGUAACGGCGAGCGAAGUGGGAAGAGCUCGAGCCUGUAAUCUCCGGCAGCUGCUGCCGGCGAAUUGUGGCCGGGAGAAGGCGAAUUUAUCUUACCUUGCGGCGCCAAAGUUGACCUGGAAGGGCACGUCAAAGAGGGUGAGAGCCCCGUACGCGGCCUCGCGAGGUACGACAGUGUUUGUCUUCAGAGAGUCGGGUUGUUUGGGAAUGCAGCCCAAAGGUGGUGGUAAACUCCACUUGAAGCUAAAUACUGGCACGAGACCGAUAGCAAACAAGUACCGUGAGGGAAAGGUGAAAAGCACUUUGAAAAGAGAGUCAAAGAGACCGCGAACCCGUUAGGAGGGAAACGAAUGCAGCCAUGAAGGCUCCGUUCAGGUUCAGGGCGUCUUGUUUGGGCGCGUGGUCGCUAUGGACCCGUUAUCCGGCCAUGCGGCACUGCGCUCUGGAAGACACCUGCAAUCCCGUCUGGAGUCCGCCAACGGUGGCUUAUCCUGGGCGACAAGGGUCGUAGGGCAGGUGUCUUCCGUGGGCUUCGGUCCGGGAAGGACUUAUAGCCUUCGUCCCGGUGUACCGGGAUUGGCGGAGGAGAGUCGCGACAUUUCGCGCGCUUUAGCGCAGGCUUCGUAGGGGCCGGGCAGCUUCUGUCUUUGCGUGCUUCGCGGCGAGGCACUGCUCGCAGUGUCCGUUGACGGUAAGUGCGCUUGGUCGGGAGACGGGCCACGAUCUGCGCUGCAGUCGUUGGCGUGAGUAUGGUUCCAUCCGACCCGUCUG